CCUACGGGUGGCAGCAGUGGGGGAUAUUGCACAAUGGGGGCAACCCUGAUGCAGCGACGCCGCGUGUGUGAAGAAGUAUUUCGGUAUGUAAAGCUCUAUCAGCAGGGAGGAAGAUGACAGUACUUGACCAUGAAGCCCCGGCUAACUACGUUCCAGCAGCCGCGGGCAUACGUAGGGGGCAAGCUUUAUCCGGAUUUACUGGGUGUAAAGGGAGCGUAGGCGGUUAUGCAAGGCUGGUGUGAAAGCCCGGGGCUCAACCCCGGGACUGCUUUGGAUACUGUGAAGCUGGAGUACAGUAGGGGCAGGCGGAAUUCCAGGUGUAGCGGUGAAAUGCGUAGAGAUCAGGAGGAACACCGGCGGCGAAGGCGGCCUGCUGGACUGAAACUGACGUUGAGGCGCGAAAGCGUGGGGAGCAAACAGGAUUAGAUACCCCUGUAGUC
RNAcentral lists this ribosomal RNA (440 nucleotides) under uncultured bacterium. RNAcentral describes it as "partial 16S ribosomal RNA". It matches the Rfam family "Bacterial small subunit ribosomal RNA", at positions 338 to 795 of the family's 1533-position model. The record is from RNAcentral.